This is a non-coding RNA of Nomia melanderi (Alkali bee), 9882 nucleotides long. The record is from RefSeq and is a predicted model, not a curated record. NCBI's taxonomy places the organism in Eukaryota, Metazoa, Arthropoda, Insecta, Hymenoptera, Halictidae.
AUUUCAUGACUGUAACUGAUGUAUGCGAACGAUUGUCAAUGAGGCACAUGUGUUGCGGAAGAUGACAAGAUGAAUACAUAAAGGGAGAGUGAAAGUAGAGUAAGAAGAAAGAAGCGAAUAUCUCGAACAUAUGUAUGCGUUUUUCACGUACCUUCUCAUUCCGGAAUAACGUUCGUGUAACAGUGUUCGAAUUAACUACAAACGGUCCAAUGAAAAGCAGAAAAAUUUUUAAAAACAUGUUGUACAUGGUCAAGCGUUCUCGCAGAUUCGUGGUCGACUGAAUACCACGAAGCAUCCAUUGUACUACUUAAAUCAACGUCGCCAUUUUGAAUACACAUCCACGUGAUCGAUACGCGUAACGGUCACAAACGAUGCGUACAUCGCGGAUUUCAUGCAUGCACAGCGUAUAGCAGUUCAGACUUCAAUAAAAAAGUGUACGAAUUUCAGUUGGAUUUGAGUUUCUGUAGUCUGUAAAAAUCUGUAUUUACAUAAACAUCCGUAGUCUAACGCGAGCAAGCAUCUACGCAUUACCAGUACCCGUUUUAUGAAUUCAAAAGUAACUCAUGUAUGCGAAGGGAAUUUCAGUGGAUAGUUAUUCAUUGAAACUACAGUGUAAGGAUCAAACCGGUUCAGUUUUAUGUGCCCAGUUUUCAACGAGAGAAAAAACAAAAGAGCUACAGUGGGAUGGAUGGAUUAUACGAGACGAAGAAGAGGAACAGGGUCGAAGUAUCGAGUACCAGGAACACCGAUCCACACCGCAGAGGAGCUAAGCAACGGGGAUCAUCUCGGACUUUCAACGAUUUUUCCGUAACCCGCUCCAGUAGCUGUGUCCACGUGUUUUGUCGCGUCCAGUAGGUAAGUUAUCGCGCGACUCUCGAGUGUCGGCCUUGAUCCUCGUGCAGGGUUGCGAUAGAAACGCGACACGCUGGUCACCAAGCGAGACCGGGACCCGUUAGGAGAACGACGAUAAUUAUUAGCCGUCGUCGGCCGGUGAUCGUCGCAUCAACGUUACCGUGGUCGAGGACGCUGUCCACGAACCCGACUGCGAGGGAAGUAUAUUGCAUGCAGAAAUCAAUUCAUUGGGAUCGAAAGACACGAUCUUUUGGGAAUGGACGAAUUAUUUUGGAAUAACUGAAUUAAUUGAUAUGUCUAACAACGAAAUGUCACGAUAUCUUGAAGGCAUAAAAAGUUGUCCAAAGUAAUGGCGAAUGUUUCAAGGACUGGUACGUCAUUUUCUGGAGAGACGAUGAAAUUGCUUUAGAAGCGAAUUGAUUGGUACAAUUUAAUGAUAAAGCGUCGUGAUCUAUCGAUGGCCGCUUGACAAUGAAAAUACCUAAUCGUAUCCGCAGUCUCGUAGAUGGAAAAUGGAUCGUGCUCGCACUCGGGAACCAAGCGGCGCCAUUAGAACAUGGAUCUGAAACGGACCGUGGUAACACACGUUUCUUUCUGCGCUCGCGCGACUAAAGCGCGUGCCCGAUGAUUUCGCGGCCGACCUGCGGCUUAUGUUGCACUUUCUACCGGGCACGAAGCUGUCCGCCAGAAAAUCGACGAGGGACUUUCUAAGAAAAUGGCACCGCUGUCGAUGUCUCUUGGAAACUGUUGCCUAUCCGAGUCUCCGACACUUUGAGUAACUAAUAGAUCCUAUAGAAAGUCUUCGCGGAUCGUUACUGCAUUUAUUUCACUUAAUAUUUCGUUCUCUAUAAGGUCUGUGUAAUCGAAAGUGCGGUUUCGAAGAACAUUAGCGAUUUCGUUGCGAUAACAGUCGCUAAUUAAGCAACGACGCGUCAGCAACGAGCGAGACGCGCGAGUGUCUUGAAUGGAAAGAUUGGUUCUUCAAAAUUCUAUCUACUCUUGUCAAGAGACAUCGUAUUUUACCUCAACAUUUUGUUUCUUAAAUCGUUAAAGUCGCUGUGUCUACACAAUGAAAGUUAAACUACAGAGUAACGCGAAGCCAACAAUCAGAUUUGCUCAUAAUCAGAUCGAAAUAGUGGAUCGAUUGCAAAUUCUCUUAGUCAUCAAGGAAAAAGAAAAAAAUUCUACCGAUGGCGUCUAUUUCGUGAUGGGAAAAUGAGACUACCAAAGCAGAUAGUGUCGUUGACAAUGGACCAGAAAGGAGAAUGAAGAAGAAAGUCGCGUCCCCGCGUAGUAAACCCGAGAAACUCCGCGUCCCACGUUUUUCCCCGAUCACAAUGCGAUAAUCGGACGCUGAAUGCUCGCGCGUUGCAAGAUCUUCUUAACCUUGACGUACACCUAUGCCUCCCGCUGCAUUCUUCCCGGCGUACGCACGCUACACGCGAUGAACGUUGACGACACCGCGUUUCGUUGUUUCGUUCGAUCGACCGACCGAUCAAGGCAUUCCACGUCGAAGCCGAUUUUACUCGUGGCUGAAAAUUGAUCGAUCAUCGAUAAGAUUUCAAGGCUUCCCACGAAACGCGCGAUUUCCUUUCGUUUUCCACCUACUUUCCUGCCCGUUGCUAAAUGAAGUUGCGUUACGAGUUUAAUACGUGCGCUUAUGGGAGCUUGGAGAUUGUUCUGGGAGCAUUUCGAAAGAACUUUUAAUCGUAGUUCACGAUUAAAACGAUUUUCUGCUCGUCAGGGAUUCAAUCUUUUUUAAAUAAGGACACUUUGUAGAUACAAGAUUUAAUAGAUUUCAAUCUCUAAUGUAUCACGGCACUGCCGGCUUUCCCUAGAAUCCGUGGCAUUGAAAACGCCCCUAGACGCCGCGAAAUCAACCGUGUUUCCGGUGGAAUUGAUCAACAGACGUGCGCAGCUGUAUGCAGGAUAGUCCACGCGACUCUUACAAGCGUGUAUCGGCGAUCUAAUUGCGCUUGCCCCGAGCGAUUAGAAAGAACCGUCUCGGGAAGCAAAUAAACGAUCCAGAGAGUACAUUUUUAAGGCGAUCCAGCUUUUAUAAUUGCAACGGUGCGCGUCUAUUCAACAAUUUCUCUAAUACUUUGUGAAAAAGAGUUUUUAAAGUAUCCAAAAUCUUCAGCAAAGCGAGCUAAAUUCGAGCUUGAACUCUUAAAUGCUUCUUCAUUGCAUACAAUUUCGUUUCGUCGCCCCAAUUGCACACAAUUCUUUAUCCUGAGCUUCUUAUAUAUAUAAUUUGGUUUAUCCAGCCUUAAUCAUUCACACUUUUCCUUCACGAUUCGUACCACUUAUUGUACUUUAUCUAUUGCAACAUUCAAACUUCUAAUACUACUAAUAAUAAUUCUAACAGCAAUGUCUCUUUCUAACAAUAAUUCUUACAGUUAAUAUCUUUCGUUCCUCUAAUUCUACAUCUACAUCUACUCCCUACUCCUACUGUCACUCUAUCUCCCCUCGUCUCUUUUUUAUUUCAACCCCUUUUUCAACCCUCCUAUCUUUCUAUCAUUCACUGCAUCCUCUAGUCUUGCCUAUCCCUCGAUCUCUCUACGAUCUCUAAUUAAGUACUCCAAAUUGCCAGAACCUCCUCCACACGAGGAUUUUCUUUCGUUCCCUUCCUCGCAAAAUUUAUUCCAUAUUUCCUAGAGUUCUCACUUUACUCGCAAAUCAUGAAUCAAUCCGUGUGUCCCGGGUCAUCAGGUUAAUCGUCGGUCAAGCGGUCGAAAAACGGCGAAUGGCCCGUCUAGGUCUCUCGAGUCUGCUUUCACGUGGUUGCGUUUCGCCACCAACGCGAAGCUCGCGUUCGCCUCGAGCGCGGGAACGUCGUCCUGCCUCCGCGCGAUUUCUUUGACAUAGAAAGGAAAACGCGACUGAAUGGGAAUCGCGAGGUGGCUGGAAAGAGUGUUCCCCGUCCCCCCUUCGCGGCCGGGAGCCGAUUGUUGCCGGGACCAACGAUUUUUAGCGAACGUCCGGGGAUCCUCGCCCGUCCGCGCGACACGCGGUGAAACGAUCCCGCGGUAAUUUGUGGAGAAACCCGGCAUCGCGAUGAAAGUGCGUUAAUUGGCCCGAGAAUAUCUUACUUUUGCUUUUAAUUCUUUUAUUCCGUCAUUUGAAUAUUCGUAUCACCGCGCGGCUCGCGUUCCUCGACGCCGGCCGGCGAGCAGUUACGCGAAUACCGGAUGGUUCGUGAGCAAUAACCGAGGAUCAUCUUCAUUUUAACCGCCGCAAUAAUAUUCUUCAUAGAAGACUCGAGUGAAUACGUGGUUAAUAGAUCAAGCAUUGAAGAGAACCGUCCGGCAGGAAGCAAAUUAGACCUGUGGCAAUUAAAGUCCCUUAGGGAGGCGCGAGCGGAUUAACUCGCGCGAUCGAAGGAUACGGGGAGAAUGUACAGAAACCCGAUACAAGCGAGUUUGAACGGACAAUUUCCCGGAUGAUUUAUGUACUUGUGUCGCAGUCGGCGCAAUGUUCCGCGCAAUGUUAACAACCUUGCGUAUACGAUAAAGCGCGAAAUAUGUAAGCGUGGGCGGCCACACGUACCGCCGCCAUACGUCAACGCGUAGGUCGAUAAUCGAACGCGGAGGUCCCUUUUAAAAGUCAACUAAGAUACGAUCUUGACAUAAAUCGGGGAAUGUCGCGCUCGAGACGACGGAGAAAAAAUGGCCACUUCUUGAAAAAAAGAGAGGAACAUGGAGUGUAAGAAUUCGAGCAGAAAAUUUCGGAAAAAUUCACGGAGCUCGUCGAGCGACGUGCUUUGUAUUUCCUAUUAUUUUAAAUGAUUAGAAAGCGUAGAUAAUUGCAGAAAUAUAAUAAAGGUACUUUCGAUAUACCCGCUAAAGGAGUACGGACACCUUAAGUGUGGCAAUUAGAAAAUUUUCCAUUAUCUCAUUCGCAAAUAGAAGAACGCCGACAGCUUAACGCGCAGAUCCACGAAAGUAAUUAGAGGAGCAACACUUUCAAUUCUCCCGGAUCACCGAUCUCCGGUUUACGUAAGCCGAGACAGUUCCACUCGAUACAAAACGAGCCAUAAAUUAAUCGAAUCCGCGGCUAGAAGGAGAUUUGCAUCGCGAAUUAAUUUGCCGGGCGUGUAUCCAGCACUUUUCGUCCCCCGCCCGGCACGACCGGUAAGCGGACGCACGGAUUUCUAGAGAAAAAAGUGCACCCGUGCCGAGUUCAAUGUCCUGCGAGUCGAAAGCGUUAAUUGAGCGCGCCUUAUCCGCAACAGAUUCGUAAGAAAAGUCACCGUUCACCGGCGAAACUAGUUCCUAAAUAACAUUUCAGUUUCGCGAACCGCGGGGAUAGGUAAAACGCCGACAACUUUCAUUCCGAUUUUUCAACACCCUUACGCACUGAACCGGCCGUCGAGUUUCCACGGCGCGGAUAGAAAUUUCUGCGCACGUCGAUCGCGACGGGGAGCGCUAAUUCACAGGGUCGACGGAUGAUCGUGCAAAUCGGCGAUCUUGCACGCUGAUUUGUCAAACCGCUAAUCAUACGAUCUCCCGUUAAUAUCGUUUCCUUCGAUUUCGUGGACUCCUGGCACGCAUUAUUAACCUUGGACGUUGAUGAAAUCAAUUUUAAUGUGUUUCUAUAAACGAUACCUCCAUUAGAAUAUCAUUUUUACGAUCGAUGUGAUCGAGUUUCUAGACGUACCGUGGAGAUGUUUAUCUAUUAAUCGAGCCAUUCGUUUCACAGAGCGAUUUCCUCUGCGAAAUGAAACGUGGAAGAACUUACAGGGAAAUUAGAUUGUACGAAUUAUUAGAAAAUAGGAGUCGUAUGUUUCUGCUGGAAGUACUGAUUGAGCUUUAAAUUGAAUAAUGGAUUGGAAAGAUGGUUUUUAGCUGGGAUAUUUGGAAGCGUUCGCGGAACGGAGUUGAUCACUUUGACUGGUGAACGUCUCGAUUAAAAAGGUUAGCAGACAAAGCAGUCCUCGCCGGUUCCACGUCUCUAUUAUUCGGUUUACUAGGCUCGUCCCUCGACUUCCCGACAAUUUACCCUGGCGCAAUGUAAAACGAAGUGUCCCGUUAUUCCGUGGAAUGUAAUUUCGUACGUCCAACGGGGGAACGGCUAGGGAUGUAAUUUCUCAGUUGUUUCUAGCAUUCCUCUUUCUCGCGUAAUCACCUGUUAUGUCUAUUCGGGAAUCACGCGGCCGGAAACCCGUGUAGCUCUCCGGUUUUCCAGGAAAACUUCAAUUCCCCAUCUUCGGUAAUCUGCUAGUGAAAUCUUCCUUCGCUUGCAAACCACAUAUUGCUCUUUUAGGGUUAAUUAAAUAAUUAGUCGUUCUUUAAUGCCUGGCAAUUUUCCGCUUAACUUUUCUUGUAGUCUUUUCUUAAGCAAUUUCAUGGAUGUUUAGAGGUUCUAAUGGUUCGAACUCAUAAGUUACAGUUCACAGUAUCCCUGAACGUUAAGUAGGAAAAUAUAUGUCUUUGACGAUAAUAUCUAUAACAUUUAAUUAAUAAUUAUUCAACAGUAAAUAUCUAUAAUUCGAAUGUAACGUCUACAGAAUGUAAGGUGCAGAAAUAAUUACAGUAGAAGAGAUAUUUAGUCACUCUUAAUUAAACGCAACAGCAUAUGCGUCAAUGUUAUGUAUAUUAUUGUACUUCGCGGUAUUUUUCAUAUUAUCUUUUGUUUCAUAUUGACACGUUAUUAUCAAGCAAAUGUUCCACGAAUUCGCUGAGCGAGAAGAGGAAACAACGGGGAAUCCGAUCUGUACAACAAUAGCCCGUGUAAAACACGUACGUGCCGUCGCAAGGACGCGUCGGCUGUUCCUUUAUAAUUCGUGGCCUGAAUCGAUCUUCCGGUUAUGUCACGAUUUCUUCAAUGGAGGCGCAAUUAUACCUCGUCGCCGCAAUUCCGCCGGUCGUUGUCGACACAAUAAAUACAUGCUCGCACGAGUUACGCCGGUGCAAUCGACUUGUGCAAUGUUCUGGAUCCCCCUGUCUUUAACCCAUUUUUGUUCGCAUCGACCAACGGAAUCGCUGUCACUUUCUAAAACAAUGCCUAUACUCCUAUAGGACAUAUUUCAACAGCUCCCAGCGAGUUGACUGAAACCCAAAUCACUUCGAAGGACUCCGUAUUGAAACAUUUUAUCAUUGACGAACAAUCGCGAGAUCUAAAGUAUGAUUACUUAACGUUUAGACUUUCAAAGAUCAAUAAUUAGUACCCGAGGAUUUCAUAAUCAUGUUUUCUUGCAACAGAAUUCAACAUUUUUCUUAGGGUUGCUAUUCAGAAAAAAUUAUACUUUGAUAUAAUACAGCUAUUAAGAAGCCUAUCAACAGGUGGCUAAAGUGCUAACAAAUUCGAAACAGUUGAUUCAUCGCACCGCCAUAAGAAAAGUGUGCAAACCACAAGGUUCCUUCUAAUGAGACGUCGUUCCAAUUACACCACAAAUUUCUUCUGAGCAAUGUUUACCACGAGAGACGUGCUCGUUGCAGCGUGACGGGAACUUCCGCGUUUUUCGAUUGCCCAACGAAAUUCGAAACAACGAUGCGACGACGCCAUGUUUCGCCACACGCCGAAACGACCCUGCCGCCCGGCUGAUUAUUCCGGCAUCGAACAUUCUUGCAUCGGCAACGGAAUCGCUGGCCCACGCGCGAGAACGGCGAUUUAUUAAAACGAUUUCGCGGCUGGUCGAUAAAUAGGCGACACGACUCCACCGGGAGGCCACCGUUUAAUGGACGAUGGUGUUUGAAUAGCUAGACAAGCGGUUUGCGCAACAAUGAAAGUAGCAGGGUAAAGGUUUCUCGCGGAAAACGGCAUUCCGCUCGUUCCUCGAAUAAGUCUGGUGCAAUGCGUCUGUAUCAAUCGCGAUGUUGUCCGAUUGAAAAUUACGAGCGCUCCCAAUCGAUUUUUUAACCGACGCAACGCUCGAUAUGGACCAGCUAAUCCGUGCGUUAGAUCGAUCGAGAUUACCGCGCGAUCGGUCGCAGAUUAAAUAGGUUUCAGAUACGCGAAGAUUAAGUUACUUUGAUCCUAGAGCUGCGCAAUGAACUUUCGAGUAUCGUAAACAAGCCGUAAGUAAACACGAUCACUCUCUGAAUAUUAUAGAUACAGUUGAAUACAAUGGACUUUUGAAUAAUGUUCCUAGAUUGUAGAUUAAUACAACGGCUCUCUUAACGUCUACACGCUUAUUCCUAGCGAAUUCGAUACCACUGAUCUCGAUGAAUUAACUUCCCGGCGAAUCUGCAUUAUUAAUCUUCAUUUGCGUUCAAUGGUAUUUUCAUACGAUCUCCAUAUAAUUGUCAAUUUUAAUAUCAAAACGAUCUGUGUCCGAGAGUCCUCUAAACUCUUGGAGACAAUAUCAUGCGCUUCAUUAAUAUUCUCCAAAAAAGCCUCGCACGUUAUAAUUUCUACAAACACCCGGUAGAUCGCCCGGUGUCACAUCUAGCGCAAUCGGAUCCGUUCUGCGGCGAAUACCAACGAUUUUCGACACGCGAUUUCAAAUAUCCGUCACGAGGCUCGUAGCCUCUGUCGCAAAGAGCAAAUUCGUUUCACCGUGAUCCGUUUGUCGAUCAACGACACCGAAAGCAAAUCGGGCAACUCGUCGAAUCACGUUCGCGGACGUUCCCGUGUAACAGUACCGAUCGCGAAAAAAUGAGGAAAAUAGAGGAUAGAGAAGAUUGGGUAGCGGACGGAGCGCCGGUGAUCGAUUAAGUCCGAAUUGCACAGGCGAUCCAGUCACGCCAUCAUCGCGGAAUGAGUCGCGAUCCGUUGAGCAUUAUCCGGUGCCGUGUUGCGUGACUGCCGGCGUGAAUGCUGACGAGCACUGGACCAUCGAAAACCAAGGCUCCCGUUCUCAGGAUUCAAGGUUUUUAGAUGUGCACGUGUGAACCGGCGUUCCUUUGUCUCGCUGUGGAAACCUGGUCUUUUUACUGGCGCGCGGGCAAAGUAUCCGGCAAUUGCGAUUGUUGGUAUCCGGCCCCUGAUCUUCCUGGUUCCAGCUUUGUCUGAACCUUAUCGCGGUCCCCCAUCGAUUUAUUUCUUUCGCUUCUUCUUUUGCUCGCAGUGCCAUUUUGUAAACAGUGCGCGCUGAUUACGGAGGUUCGGCUCGAAGCCGGUCUUAACCUGGAGGAAUGUAUCUAACGGAGCUGCCGGAUGGAUCGGAAUGAUUCCUGAUCUCUUUCUUCGGGAUUACUAAAAAGAGGAAAAUUGAAAAGAUGAUUGACAAACAACCGAAGCGAAAGAAGAGAUAUUGCCGCAGCGUGCUCCGGAGACGAAAUAAGAAGACUCACGAUAGCAAACGGAACGACAACUCAUCUGAAUCGGCCAGCGCAAGAAAUAUCAGCUGUCGUCAUUCUCGGAUGAUUACACAGGAUCUCAUCCCAGUGACCUACAAUAAAACUGCAACACGCGAACGCGCGUAUUACGGAGAUUUAAUGAAAACAAAUACUGCGGAUCGCGUUUCUACGCGAUCGACGGCGUAACAGCGAAAAGAGGAAUCGUGAAGGAAACGGAAUACGUGGGUGUCGCGCCGCGUCGGUCAAAGUGUUAAGUAAUCCCCAAAGGAUCAAGCCAAGCCGAUCGGGGCCGAAGGUUGCGAGAAUGGGAAAAAAGAUGCCAGUGGAUGUUACGAAAGGGAAACGGGCACAGAGGUCGACGGGAUUCCUGCGCCGAAUAAGCUCGAAAGAAGGGGACAUUUCGCGACGAGACGUUCACGGCGCUAGGCCGACGACACAGCGUUCGAAUGACGCGCGUCGUGACGAUCGUCGUUUCGUGCGAUAUAGGUGGCCAGCUGUUUCGGCUGCGUACGGAAGAACCUCGACUAUCCGACUUCAAACUCCGCACUUGGAAGCUUUUCGACGGAGUCUUUUGAAUCUUAACGAUAAUUCACACAUAAGUUCAGCAGUAAUUGAAUAUCAUGUCACCGAUGACUCCCAACCAAAUAUCACUAUAAUUCAUUGUAUUAAACGAUGAUUAUUUGAAAACAUUCGUAAAUAAUCUAAUGCGGUGACAUUCAGCUAGACGAGCAUGCAACAAUUAUAAUAUAAUUCAAUGAUUUAAUAUUAUAUUUCUUCUAUUUUCUGU